AACUUUCGACAAUGGAUCACUCGGCUCUUGCUUCGAAGAAGAACGCAGUCCAUUGCGAAAAGUCAUGCGACCUGCACUCUUUGAGAAGCAUAACUCUUUGAACGCACCUUGCGCGCAUCGACACUAGUUGGUGCGAGGUCCUGUUUGAGCAUAAUUAAUUACUAGUAUUUGGCCAUUUGCUGGUAGUAGAUGGCUUAAAGGCAAGCGGGAGCCCGAACGACUCUAGGGCAGCGAGACGAGUAGCGCGACAAGCACCACUACGCAACUCGCAACCGCCUUUACUAGUCGAGCUCACUAAAGCGAGCAUUGACUAAUUGUUGAGCUUGCUCAACAACCAGCCAAGCAUCUCAAAUCAGGAUAGAGGACCCGCUGAACUUAAGCAUAUCAAUAAGCGGAGGCU
Molecule: unclassified non-coding RNA, 400 nt
Filed under: uncultured Basidiomycota
Lineage: Eukaryota; Fungi; Basidiomycota
Description: sequence contains ITS2
Rfam family: 5.8S ribosomal RNA (bases 1-154)
Source: RNAcentral